GGAUCUCUUGGCUCUCGCAACGAUGAAGAACGCAGCGAAAUGCGAUAAGUAAUGUGAAUUGCAGAAUUCAGUGAAUCAUCGAAUCUUUGAACGCACAUUGCGCCCUCUGGCACUCCUCAGGGCAUGCCUGUCCGAGCGUC
This 140-nucleotide ribosomal RNA is filed under the name Tuber gennadii. RNAcentral's name for it is "5.8S ribosomal RNA". It matches the Rfam family "5.8S ribosomal RNA". From Rfam's summary of the family: 5.8S ribosomal RNA (5.8S rRNA) is a component of the large subunit of the eukaryotic ribosome. It is transcribed by RNA polymerase I as part of the 45S precursor that also contains 18S and 28S rRNA. Lineage: Eukaryota; Fungi; Ascomycota; Pezizomycetes; Pezizales; Tuberaceae. RNAcentral also lists the same sequence under 1 other name. The record is from RNAcentral.